Molecule: long non-coding RNA, 2666 nt
Organism: Cyprinus carpio (common carp)
Lineage: Eukaryota; Metazoa; Chordata; Actinopteri; Cypriniformes; Cyprinidae
Exons: 6
Source: RefSeq, a predicted model, not a curated record
AAACGCAGUUCAUUCUUUAAUAUUCAGUCAAGUAUUUCGGUGCAGCCAUAACCCAGAGUCCCACGUUGAGCGCUAUAAUCUUGCACCUCUCUGGAUGUGUGGAGCCCUUGUUAAUGUUAAACAGAGAUUAGCCCUUUCAUUUGCUGUACAGCUCAGUUCUCGCCCCCUCAUCUCCUCUGCCCCCUUCAAGUAUUCAAAAUUAAUACUACCCUCAGCUCCGAGGCCACUGUCUGAUAUUAACAAAGUAAUAAAGAGAAUGAAUUUUUAAAGCAUGUAUUCUUAGAGGGUUAAUAUUAGACUGUUAUCAGUGAGAGGUCAGGUGAUGUGGGGAAUUUUGCUGUCAGUUGUAGGAGCAAUUUUGAUAGCUUAGUCGUUAUUCGUUUAUUUUAUGUGCCUUAAUAUAUGACAUAUAGUUGAGAAGACUUUUUUACAAUGAGUUUUUUGUGGUUGGUAGUUAUUUUUUUACCACCAAUUUGUUAAAUGGAUAAGCUGACAAUUAGGGAUGCAUACAAGGGUUUUUAGGCCAAAAUAUCCAGAACACAAACUUUAUUACCCCUUUCUAGAUAGAAAGAUGUGGUGCCAUCUUCCCUUCUACCUCUCCAACAUCUCAGUUCCUUACACUUCUUCCUUUCUGUUGUCCUCUCUCUCCAUUAAUCUUUCUGAAAGGCCUGAUAUCAUCCAUCUCCCCAGUCGGCUAUUCCCGAGGGGUAAAUUACUCCAGAGGCCUGCGUGGCCCCGCUCUGUAUCAGGUUGACCCACGUCUUGUUUGCCAUUUUGUGUACGCCGCUGUUUAUUUAACAAGGAGCAGAGUGAGAGGGCCUUCCAGAGACGGUCCUUUGAUAGUAACUUUGACACCCGAGCUGAAUAAUAACCCUCAUUAUGGAGUGGCUGACAGCUCCUGAAAGAGCUGAUUUAUGAAUAUGCUGGGGGCUGAAGCCUGCUGCCUUUCCCUGCUUGCUCUCCACGGCUCCACCGGCAUCUCAGGCUGCCACCGUCCCUGUGCUUCCACCUUCCUCUCCUCUCCUUUUCCCCUUUCUGUGCUAGUGAUUACAGGCAUGUUACGUCAGGAGACUGUGGGCCGAUCUGAGAGCCUGAGAUCUGAAAUCAAUGGUAGUUGUCCAUUGAGACCAAGAAAUAAACACAUUUCCUCUAUUGGUGUUUAGAUGAAAAAGAAAACGAUAUAGGAUGGAUGGAUUGAUGGGUGUAUAUAUGGAUAUAUGGAUACAUGAAUAGAAGUAAAUGAGUAGGUAGAUAUGGAUUGAUGGAUAGAGGAAUAGAAGCAGAUGAGUGUGUAGACAGUGUAAUUGAUUAGAUAUUGAUGGAUAAAUUGAAUUAAAUGGGUAGGUAGAUACUGUAGAUAUGGAUAGUUGGAUAGAUGGUAGAUAGAUGGGUGAAGAGAUAUAUAGAUGAAUAGAAGUAGAUGGGUUGGUAGACAGACAGAUAAGUAGAAAUGGAUAGUCGAUGGGUGAAGAGAUGGAUAGGUAGAUGAAUAGAAGUAGAUGGGUAGGUAGACAGCGUAUGGAUGGCUGGAUAGGUAGGUGGAUGGAUAGAAGUAGAUAGGUUGGCAGAGAGAUAAACUUUGUAUUCUUUUGGCAAAAUGUAAUUUGAUCCAUCUCGUAAACAAUUUUCCUUUUCAGAUGACAUCAUCUAGAUCUCUCUUUUUUCAACCCUUCCCUCCAACCAUCGGUCAUGUUCACAGAAUCAAUUAAGCAGGGAAGGGAAGGGAUCUCUGGGAAGACUGCGGGUUUGGAGAGGCCUUGAGCCCGAGCUUUGGACACCGUGGAGGUGGGAUAUCCAGUAGAUAUGAAUAAACGGGUUGAGGAGGAUGAAAGCUGUUCGGCAGAUAAAGCCAUAGCAGCCUGUCGGAAUCCUGCCACGCUGGCCCUGAUUUAUGACCAUCUCAGUCGGACUCCCUACCAAAUCCACCCGCUGCCUUUCUUGUUCAGUGGAGAUGCCUAUGCUUGAGCUGAUAGGAUGUGGUCUGGUUCGUCACACUGAACCUGAGGACACAGCUGAUGCCUCCGAGUAGCACUCUGAUGUUCCCAGUUCCUCCUCUCUCACACAGCAUUAAAAAAUCUGGAUAAAAGUUAAUAAUUGAAAACAGAGAAGGGAAGGAAAGGGGGAAAAAGACACCAAGAUUCUGACACACUCUGCAUAAACAUCUGCUUAUUAGUGACCCUAGAUGCCACACACAGUCACAGCGGCUCUGAAGCACCCCGCUGAGAGCUCAGAUGUCAGAGGUCGGCCUUCACCAUCAUAACCUCUACAGACGUGUCUUCCGGUCUUUCACAGCUCUGACCUCAGUGUACUGGACCCCGCAGAUGCAUGUGACCUUCCCAUGAAGUGCAUUUGGAGAAGUCACACCGUGCUGCCACCAGUUCGGUUCUUGGAAAGCACGCCUCAAAAUUCAAUCACACACGAGCACCAUCCAGGCACCCAACUCCACCCCCUUGUUGACUUGAUUAAGUAGUCACAUUGAUCCAUCUGGAUCUGGUUCGGCUCCUGGCAGUAACCUCCAUACCUCAUUCCAACAUGCCAGUAGUUUUCACCUUUCAGUGUCAGUGCAGAGUCGGUAGCCCUGGGUAAGCUCACUAUUCCGGCUCUCCAGAACAUUCUAAUUACCAGUCCACCCUCAUUAUGUUUGCCAUGUCAUUGUGUGCGGACGA